This 600-nucleotide ribosomal RNA is filed under the name uncultured bacterium. Its description in RNAcentral is "bacterial SSU rRNA". It matches the Rfam family "Bacterial small subunit ribosomal RNA", at positions 81 to 677 of the family's 1533-position model. The record is from RNAcentral.
UGCUACCUGAUUCAGCGGCGGACGGGUGAGUAAUGCCUAGGAAUCUGCCCGAUAGUGGGGGACAACGCUUCGAAAGGAACGCUAAUACCGCAUACGUCCUACGGGAGAAAGUGGGGGAUCUUCGGACCUCACGCUAUCGGAUGAGCCUAGGUCGGAUUAGCUAGUUGGUGAGGUAAUGGCUCACCAAGGCGACGAUCCGUAACUGGUCUGAGAGGAUGAUCAGUCACACUGGAACUGAGACACGGUCCAGACUCCUACGGGAGGCAGCAGUGGGGAAUAUUGGACAAUGGGCGAAAGCCUGAUCCAGCCAUGCCGCGUGUGUGAAGAAGGUCUUCGGAUUGUAAAGCACUUUAAGUUGGGAGGAAGGGCAGUAAGCUAAUACCUUGCUGUUUUGACGUUACCAACAGAAUAAGCACCGGCUAACUUCGUGCCAGCAGCCGCGGUAAUACGAAGGGUGCAAGCGUUAAUCGGAAUUACUGGGCGUAAAGCGCGCGUAGGUGGUUCAGCAAGUUGGAUGUGAAAUCCCCGGGCUCAACCUGGGAACUGCAUCCAAAACUACUGAGCUAGAGUACAGUAGAGGGUGGUGGAAUUUCCUGUGUA